AAUGAACGCUGGCGGUAGGCUUAACACAUGCAAGUCGGACGGUAGCAGGAAAUAAGUUUACUUAUUUUGCUGACGAGUGGCGGACGGGUGAGUAACGCGUGGGAAUCUACCCUAUAGUUGGGGACAACGUAUGGAAACGUACGCUAAUACCGAAUACGCUCUACGGAGUAAAGGAGCCCUCUUCAUGAGAGGUUUCGCUAUAGGAUGAGCCCGCGUAAGAUUAGCUAGUUGGUGAGGUAAUGGCUCACCAAGGCGACGAUCUUUAGCUGGUUUGAGAGGAUGAUCAGCCACACUGGGACUGAGACACGGCCCAGACUCCUACGGGAGGCAGCAGUGGGGAAUAUUGGACAAUGGACGAAAGUCUGAUCCAGCCAUACCGCGUGUGUGAAGAAGGCCUUCGGGUUGUAAAGCACUUUCAGUUGGGAGGAAGAUUAAAGUAGUUUAAUACCUGCUUAGUUUGACGUUACCUUCAGAAGAAGGCACCGGCUAAACUCUGU
Molecule: ribosomal RNA, 497 nt
Filed under: uncultured Gammaproteobacteria bacterium
Lineage: Bacteria; Pseudomonadati; Pseudomonadota; Gammaproteobacteria
Description: bacterial SSU rRNA
Rfam family: Bacterial small subunit ribosomal RNA
Source: RNAcentral